UACGUAGGUGGCGAGCGUUGUCCGGAUUUACUGGGCGUAAAGAGCGCGCAGGCGGUCGUUCAAGUCGAGUGUGAAAGCCCCCGGCUCAACUGGGGAGGGUCACUCGAUACUGAUCGACUCGAAGGCAGGAGAGGGUAGUGGAAUUCCCGGUGUAGUGGUGAAAUGCGUAGAUAUCGGGAGGAAUACCAGUGGCGAAAGCGGCACCCUAGCCUUAGCCUGACGCUCAUGUGCGAAAGCGUGGGGAGCGAACGGG
Molecule: ribosomal RNA, 253 nt
Filed under: uncultured bacterium
Lineage: Bacteria
Description: partial 16S ribosomal RNA
Rfam family: Bacterial small subunit ribosomal RNA
Source: RNAcentral